Molecule: transfer RNA, 75 nt
Filed under: Adonisia turfae CCMR0081
Lineage: Bacteria; Bacillati; Cyanobacteriota
Description: tRNA-Thr
Rfam family: tRNA
About the family: Transfer RNA (tRNA) molecules are approximately 80 nucleotides in length. Their secondary structure includes four short double-helical elements and three loops (D, anti-codon, and T loops).
Source: RNAcentral
GCCCACAGGAAGUUUCAGAAAUAAAGCACUCGAUUCGUAAUCGAGCGGUCGCGGGUUCAAAUCCCGCCGUUGGCU